AGACAGAGACCGUUUCCUCUGCUGCCUUAUUGCCAGUUACAGUGAAUACAGUAUAUGACAAGAGUUUAUUAAUACUUUUCUGUGGCCAACAUCCGUGAGAGUGUAUACAAUGGCCCCAUGCAGGAAAAGAUCGAAAAGGAAGGCGGUAAGAAGGAGAUGAUUCCGGUGGAAGUUAAGAAGAAAAUCAAGGUAUGCAAAUGAGGUAUGAGAAUGGCAGAAAUUGCGAGAUUUUAUAAGAAGUCUACAUCGACCAUUUGCACAAUAUUAAAAGGAGAAAGAAGAAAUAAGGCGGCUAGAUGGCAGUAGCAAAAGCAGUGACUCCGUUAGUGAAAGUCGUCCUACACAAUAACCCUCCUCUUUCUUGUCUCCCUCACAUCAGCCGCAAAGGUUUUCAAAGGCUGACGCCUGAGAUGACCUCCAAGUGGAGGUGUGGAGGUGGCCAUAGGACUGGGACCUGUGCAUCUGGAGCUCAUGAGAAAGGGCCAGACUGGGGAGAUAGAUUGGAGCUUGUCUUUGGUUUGGAGCCCGGAGCACGGCCCCUGCUUGGAGAGGUGGCUUGGCCAGUUCACUGGCCAAAUGUGGAACCGGAAGUCACGAUGUAGCAUUCACACCAAGAACACUGGAGAGUAUUCCUCCCUCCUCGGCUGCCGACCGCCCUUGCCCGGCUGGUGAAGACCUGCCUGCUCCAGCCUUGUGGUGGGAACAGAUGUUGCUGCCAGGGCUGUGGCUCCCUGUGCCACUGUCCACGCCCAGGAACGGGGGCUUUGCCUUGCCCUCUGCUGUGGAGGGAAAAGGGAGGUGCCAAGAAGUGGGUCCCCGCCUGUGGCUUCCUGUUUCUGGGUGAAGGAGAGGGGUGGAGCUUUUGUGUCCUUGUCUGCGCUCACUGGGCGUAGGAGGACGGAAACCUCAGUGUGCCCUUGUCUCUUGUCUCCAGCUGCCUGGGCCUCGGAGCAGCGCCGGGUGCUGAGUGGACACUGUCCACAGAGAGGCCUGGGUCCCAGGCCUGGUGCCACCAGACAUGUCACCCCCUCCCACACUCUACUCCGAGACCGAAUGUUUGUGUGUGUCCCCCCUCCCCCCCCGCCCCAGUUCAUAUGUUGAAAUCCUAACCCCCAACGUGAUGGUAUUUGGAAGCAGGGCCCACCAGGGCAGAUGAGGACACGGAGAAGACAGCCAUCUGUGAGCCAGGACACUGAAUCUGCCAGCGCCUUGAUCUUGGACUUCCCAGCCUCCACA
Molecule: long non-coding RNA, 1236 nt
Organism: Lynx canadensis (Canada lynx)
Lineage: Eukaryota; Metazoa; Chordata; Mammalia; Carnivora; Felidae
Exons: 3
Source: RefSeq, a predicted model, not a curated record